UACGGAGGAUCCGAGCGUUAUCCGGAUUUAUUGGGUUUAAAGGGAGCGUAGGCGGAUGUUUAAGUCAGUUGUGAAAGUUUAAGGCUCAACCUUGAAAUUGCAGUUGAUACUGGACGUCUUGAGUGCAGGAGAGGAAAGCGGAAUUCCUAGUGUAGCGGUGAAAUGCGUAGAGAUCUGGAGGAAUACCGGUGGCGAAGGCGGCCCCCUGGACAAAGACUGACGCUCAGGUGCGAAAGCGUGGGGAGCAAAC
RNAcentral lists this ribosomal RNA (250 nucleotides) under uncultured bacterium. Its description in RNAcentral is "partial 16S ribosomal RNA". It matches the Rfam family "Bacterial small subunit ribosomal RNA", at positions 524 to 773 of the family's 1533-position model. The record is from RNAcentral.